CCUACGGGAGGCUGCAGUGAGGAAUAUUGGUCAAUGGACGAGAGUCUGAACCAGCCAAGUAGCGUGAAGGAUGACUGCCCUAUGGGUUGUAAACUUUUUUUAUAAAGGAAUAAAACGAGGCACGUGUGCCUUUUUGCAUGUAUUUCAUGAAUAAGGAUCGGCUAACCCCGUGCCAGCAGCCGCGGUAAUACGGAGGAGCCGAGCGUUAUCCGGAUUUAUUGGGUUUAAAGGGAGCGUAGAUGGGUUGUUAAGUCAGAUGUGAAAGUUUGCGGCUCAACCGUAAAAUUGCAAUUGAUACUGGCAGUCUUGAGUACAGGUGAGGUAGGCGGAAUUCGUGGUGUAGCGGUGAAAUGCUUAGAUAUCACGAAGAACCCCGGUUGCGAAGGCAGCUUACUAGACUGUGACUGACAUUGAUGCUCGAAAGUGUGGGUAGCAAACAGGAUUAGAUACCCUAGUAGUC
Molecule: ribosomal RNA, 460 nt
Filed under: uncultured bacterium
Lineage: Bacteria
Description: partial 16S ribosomal RNA
Rfam family: Bacterial small subunit ribosomal RNA
Source: RNAcentral